GCCAAGCUCCCUAAGAACUUUCCCCUCCAAGGCCAGGGAGAAUGAGACUUUGGCUCCAUUUAGGUUUCCUUGUAGCAGCUUUGGAAGGUGUCCGGUCCCAGGUGCAGCUGGUGGAGUCCGGAGGGGAUGUGAAAAAGCCCGGAGACUCUCUCCGCCUCUCCUGCAAAGCCUCCGGAUUCACCUUCAGCAGCUACCAGAUGCACUGGGUCCGGCAGGCUCCCGGGAAAGGGCUGGAGUGGGUCUCGCUCAUUUACACUGACGGAAGCAAAAGUUAUUAUUCAGAUGCAGUGAAAGGCCGAUUCACCAUCUCCAGGGACAAUUCCAACAACCUGCUGUAUCUGCAAAUGACCGGCCUGAGACUGGAGGACACCGCCCGGUAUUACUGCGCUAGACGCACAGUGGAAUGA
Malaclemys terrapin pileata is the source of this 407-nucleotide non-coding RNA. Lineage: Eukaryota; Metazoa; Chordata; Testudines; Emydidae. The record is from the annotation of a RefSeq genome assembly.